RNAcentral lists this ribosomal RNA (251 nucleotides) under uncultured bacterium. Its description in RNAcentral is "partial 16S ribosomal RNA". It matches the Rfam family "Bacterial small subunit ribosomal RNA", at positions 85 to 339 of the family's 1533-position model. The record is from RNAcentral.
GAGCUGACGAGCGGCGGACGGGUGAGUAACGCGUAGGAAUCUACCCAGUAGCGGGGGAUAGCCCGGGGAAACUCGGAUUAAUACCGCAUACGCCCUAAGGGUGAAAGUGGGGGAUCUUCGGACCUCACGCUAUUAGAGGAGCCUGCGUAAGAUUAGCUAGUUGGUGGGGUAAAGGCCCACCAAGGCGACGAUCUUUAGCUGGUCUGAGAGGAUGAUCAGCCACACUGGGACUGAGACACGGCCCAGACUCC